RNAcentral lists this transfer RNA (72 nucleotides) under Operophtera brumata (winter moth). It matches the Rfam family "tRNA". Rfam says of the family: Transfer RNA (tRNA) molecules are approximately 80 nucleotides in length. Their secondary structure includes four short double-helical elements and three loops (D, anti-codon, and T loops). The record is from Rfam by way of RNAcentral. Lineage: Eukaryota; Metazoa; Arthropoda; Insecta; Lepidoptera; Geometridae.
GUACCAAUAGCCAAACUGUUCAAGGCAUCGCCGAUUAUAGGCGAGGAUGCGGGUUCAAGUCCCGCUGGAACU